GAGAGAGUGCUGGCUGAUGUUUUUUCUUCAUGCUCCACUUCAAAGACUUUGGAUUUCACCAAGAGUUUAUAUAACUCAGACUGCAUCUGUGUCAGGCGGCAACAAACCACCUGUUCAACUGGAAAUGGAUAAACAAAAGGAAUUUUUAACACUCCACCCGUCUGUCCGUCCGUCACAACUUAGUUUUACGGACUAUUUUUCAUCAAGCUGUGAUUUAGGAAGCUGAAAUUUGAAUGAUGUCUGACAGAAUUCAAUAUAAAGAUGAUGUAAUACCUGUUUACCAAAGUCGUAAAAAGAAAGGCUCUGGAAGCUUCAUUUUAGUAUAAAUGGACUGUAAAUUUUGUGGUAAUAGGCACUUGUUAAGCAUUCCAUAAGCACACUAUGGAAUUACAUCUGGAGAUUGGAUUGGACUUAAUGGCCGUUUGUGACAGUUUACAUUUGUCAAUUCAGCUCGGCAGUAAACCAGUAUAAGACACUUUCUAUGAACUUUGGUUAUACCUACUAAUCAAUGGCUAGACAGUUAAUUUUUCCACUCAACCAUUUCUGAACUUCAUUGGACCAAUUCUGAAAGACAAAAAACAAUUGUGAAAAUUCCGGACAUCUUUUUACCCAAUGACAGCACAAUACAUUAAGUAACUAGUGGUAAUUGUAAUGGGGACCAUUACAAAUUACAAACCACCAUCUCUCAGAUGGUGCUUUUUUGUUUGAGUACAUCCAAUUGAAUCAUUUAAUAGAAAUUUUUUACUUUACUUUGUAUGUAACAUUAUGUAGAUGAUAUAGUUUAUGUUGA
Molecule: long non-coding RNA, 790 nt
Organism: Ostrea edulis (European flat oyster)
Lineage: Eukaryota; Metazoa; Mollusca; Bivalvia; Ostreida; Ostreidae
Exons: 4
Source: RefSeq, a predicted model, not a curated record